Molecule: transfer RNA, 73 nt
Filed under: Annulohypoxylon stygium
Lineage: Eukaryota; Fungi; Ascomycota; Sordariomycetes; Xylariales; Hypoxylaceae
Description: tRNA-Asn
Rfam family: tRNA
About the family: Transfer RNA (tRNA) molecules are approximately 80 nucleotides in length. Their secondary structure includes four short double-helical elements and three loops (D, anti-codon, and T loops).
Source: RNAcentral
GUCCCUAUAGCUCAACAGGUAGAGCACAGUACUGUUAAUACUGUUCGUGGAAGUUCGAGUCUUCCUAGGGGCG